This 114-nucleotide ribosomal RNA is filed under the name Rhododendron simsii. The record is from RNAcentral. Lineage: Eukaryota; Viridiplantae; Streptophyta; Magnoliopsida; Ericales; Ericaceae.
GCGAUCAUACAAGCCCUAAUGCACCGGAUCCCAUUAGAACUCCACAGUUACGUGUGCUUGGGCGAGAGUAGUACUAGGAUAGGUGACCCCCUGGGAAGUCCUCGUGUUACUCCC